UCGAGUGAAACUCUUUCCACAUAUAAAUGUGUCGAAUGUGGAACAAGUUUUACGCGUUC
This 59-nucleotide microRNA precursor is filed under the name Callorhinchus milii (elephant shark). RNAcentral's name for it is "Cmi-Novel-7_pre stem-loop". Lineage: Eukaryota; Metazoa; Chordata; Chondrichthyes; Chimaeriformes; Callorhinchidae. The record is from RNAcentral.